GGAUAGCUCAGCCGGUAGAGCAUGAGACUCUUAAUCUCAGAGAUGUGGGUUCUAGCCCCACCUUGGGCA
RNAcentral lists this transfer RNA (69 nucleotides) under Podarcis lilfordi (Lilford's wall lizard). Its description in RNAcentral is "tRNA.Lys". It matches the Rfam family "tRNA". From Rfam's summary of the family: Transfer RNA (tRNA) molecules are approximately 80 nucleotides in length. Their secondary structure includes four short double-helical elements and three loops (D, anti-codon, and T loops). Further hydrogen bonds mediate the characteristic L-shaped molecular structure. tRNAs have two regions of fundamental functional importance: the anti-codon, which is responsible for specific mRNA codon recognition, and the 3' end, to which the tRNAs corresponding amino acid is attached (by aminoacyl-tRNA synthetases). tRNAs cope with the degeneracy of the genetic code in two manners: having more than one tRNA (with a specific anti-codon) for a particular amino acid; and 'wobble' base-pairing, i.e. permitting non-standard base-pairing at the 3rd anti-codon position. The record is from RNAcentral. Lineage: Eukaryota; Metazoa; Chordata; Lepidosauria; Squamata; Lacertidae.